Molecule: ribosomal RNA, 462 nt
Filed under: uncultured bacterium
Lineage: Bacteria
Description: partial 16S ribosomal RNA
Rfam family: Bacterial small subunit ribosomal RNA
Source: RNAcentral
GACGAACGCUGGCGGCGUGCUUAACACAUGCAAGUCGAGCGGUAAGGCCUUUCGGGGUACACGAGCGGCGAACGGGUGAGUAACACGUGGGUGAUCUGCCCUGCACUUCGGGAUAAGCCUGGGAAACUGGGUCUAAUACCGGAUAUGACCUCCUAUCGCAUGGUGGGUGGUGGAAAGAUUUAUCGGUGCAGGAUGGGCCCGCGGCCUAUCAGCUUGUUGGUGGGGUAAUGGCCUACCAAGGCGACGACGGGUAGCCGACCUGAGAGCGUGACCGGCCACACUGGGACUGAGACACGGCCCAGACUCCUACGGGAGGCAGCAGUGGGGAAUAUUGCACAAUGGGCGAAAGCCUGAUGCAGCGACGCCGCGUGAGGGAUGACGGCCUUCGGGUUGUAAACCUCUUUCAGCAGGGACGAAGCGCAAGUGACGGUACCUGCAGAAGAAGCACCGGCUAACUACGUG